RNAcentral lists this unclassified non-coding RNA (377 nucleotides) under uncultured bacterium. RNAcentral's name for it is "contains 16S-23S intergenic spacer region". The record is from RNAcentral.
UCCAGCUUGACGCUGGCAGUCUCGCUAGAGUGCCCAACUUAAUGAUGGCAACUAGCAACGAGGGUUGCGCUCGUUGCGGAACUUAAUCCAACACCUCACGGCACGAGCUGACGACAACCAUGCACCACCUGUCACCAGUGCCCGAAGGGGUCCUCUAUUUCUAAAGGAUUACACUGGGAUGUCAAACCCUGGUAAGGUUUUUCGCGUAGCAUCGAAUUAAACCACAUGCUCCACUGCUUGUGCGGGCCCCCGUCAAUUCCUUUGAGUUUUAACCUUGCGGCCGUACUCCCCAGGCGGAUCACUUAAUGCGUUAGCGGCGGCGCAGAAGGGGUCGAAGCCUCCUACACCUAGUGAUCAUCGUUUAAGGCCAGGACUAC